RNAcentral lists this ribosomal RNA (410 nucleotides) under uncultured bacterium. RNAcentral's name for it is "bacterial SSU rRNA". It matches the Rfam family "Bacterial small subunit ribosomal RNA", at positions 107 to 518 of the family's 1533-position model. The record is from RNAcentral.
UGAGUAACACGUAUCCAACCUUCCCAUAACUCAGGGAUAGCCUUUCGAAAGAAAGAUUAAUACCUGAUAGACUUUUUCAAGGCAUCUUGAGAAGUUAAAGAUUUAUGGUUAUGGAUGGGGAUGCGUUCCAUUAGAUAGUUGGUGAGGUAACGGCUCACCAAGCCUUCGAUGGAUAGGGGUUCUGAGAGGAAGGUCCCCCACAUUGGUACUGAGACACGGACCAAACUCCUACGGGAGGCAGCAGUGAGGAAUAUUGGUCAAUGGGCGAGAGCCUGAACCAGCCAAGUAGCGUGAAGGAUGAAGGUCCUAUGGAUUGUAAACUUCUUUUAUAGUAGAAUAAAGUGAUCCACGUGUGGAUUUUUGUAUGUAUACUAUGAAUAAGGAUCGGCUAACUCCGUGCCAGCCGCUGC